Molecule: non-coding RNA, 117 nt
Filed under: Nomascus leucogenys (northern white-cheeked gibbon)
Lineage: Eukaryota; Metazoa; Chordata; Mammalia; Primates; Hylobatidae
Source: Rfam by way of RNAcentral
GCCGGGCAUGGUGGCUCACGCCUGUAAUCCUAACACUUUGGGAGGCCGAGAUAGAAGGAUCACUUGAGCCCAGGAGUUCGAGACCAGCCUGGGCAACAUAGUGAGACCCUGUCUCUU